AUUGGACGCUGGCGGCAUGCCUUACACAUGCAAGUCGAACGGCAGCACGGGUGCUUGCACCUGGUGGCGAGUGGCGAACGGGUGAGUAAUACAUCGGAACAUGUCCUGUAGUGGGGGAUAGCCCGGCGAAAGCCGGAUUAAUACCGCAUACGAUCCACGGAUGAAAGCGGGGGACCUUCGGGCCUCGCGCUAUAGGGUUGGCCGAUGGCUGAUUAGCUAGUUGGUGGGGUAAAGGCCUACCAAGGCGACGAUCAGUAGCUGGUCUGAGAGGACGACCAGCCACACUGGGACUGAGACACGGCCCAGACUCCUACGGGAGGCAGCAGUGGGGAAUUUUGGACAAUGGGCGAAAGCCUGAUCCAGCAAUGCCGCGUGUGUGAAGAGGGCCUUCGGGUUGUAAAGCACUUUUGUCCGGAAAGAAAUCCUUGACUCUAAUACAGUCGGGGGAUGACGGUACCGGAAGAAUAAGCACCGGCUAACUACGUG
RNAcentral lists this ribosomal RNA (486 nucleotides) under uncultured bacterium. RNAcentral describes it as "partial 16S ribosomal RNA". It matches the Rfam family "Bacterial small subunit ribosomal RNA", at positions 30 to 507 of the family's 1533-position model. The record is from RNAcentral.